Molecule: ribosomal RNA, 450 nt
Filed under: uncultured Acaulospora
Lineage: Eukaryota; Fungi; Glomeromycota; Glomeromycetes; Diversisporales; Acaulosporaceae
Description: SSU rRNA
Rfam family: Eukaryotic small subunit ribosomal RNA
Source: RNAcentral
AGCAGCCGCGGUAAUUCCAGCUCCAAUAGCGUAUAUUAAAGUUGUUGCAGUUAAAAAGCUCGUAGUUGAAUUUCGGGAUUUAUCCGUCGGUCGGGCUUUUGGGUCUGUACUGGCGUGAUGAAUUCCUACCUUCUGAAUAACCAGCAUGCCAUUAAUUUGGUGCGCCGGGGAAGCAGGACUGUUACCUUGAAAAAUUAGAGUGCUUAAAGCAGGCUAUUGCCUGAAUACAUUAGCAUGGAAUAAUGAAAUAGGACGGCAUGGUUCUAUUUUGUUGGUUUCUAGGAUCACCGUAAUGAUUAAUAGGGAUAGUUGGGGGCAUUAGUAUUCAAUUGUCAGAGGUGAAAUUCUUGGAUUUAUUGAAGACUAACUUCUGCGAAAGCAUUUGCCAAGGAUGUUUUCAUUAAUCAAGAACGAAAGUUAGGGGAUCGAAGACGAUCAGAUACCGUCGUA